Molecule: ribosomal RNA, 164 nt
Filed under: Pectis sinaloensis
Lineage: Eukaryota; Viridiplantae; Streptophyta; Magnoliopsida; Asterales; Asteraceae
Description: 5.8S ribosomal RNA
Rfam family: 5.8S ribosomal RNA
About the family: 5.8S ribosomal RNA (5.8S rRNA) is a component of the large subunit of the eukaryotic ribosome.
Source: RNAcentral
UAAAUGACUCUCGGCAACGGAUAUCUCGGCUCACGCAUCGAUGAAGAACGUAGCAAAAUGCGAUACUUGGUGUGAAUUGCAGAAUCCCGUGAACCAUCGAGUUUUUGAACGCAAGUUGCGCCCGAAGCCAUCUGGUUGAGGGCACGUCUGCCUGGGCGUCACGU